AUUAAGCAACUAUGAGAUAGUAAAGAAUCUGAUUUCAAAUGAGCUCUGCAGGAGCCUAAAUUUUGUGCAUUGCGAUCUUCCCCAUUUUGGAAACUUGUUUAGCUUGAUUUUAAGCCAUGAGUACGGCCCAGUUUCUCAGCGUUCAUCCUUCAGAGCUCAAAUUCCCAUUUGAAUUGAGGAAGCAGAGUUCUUGCACUGUGCAACUGACCAACAAGACUAAUGAUUAUGUUGCUUUUAAGGUUAAGACAACAAACCCUAAGAAGUAUUGUGUCCGUCCCAAUAGUGGUAUCAUUUCGCCAGGGUCGUCUUCCAGCUUUAUAGUCACAAUGCAAGCCUGGGAAGAGGCACCACCAAGUAUGCAGUGCAAGGACAAGUUUCUCCUCCAAAGUGUUAUUGCGCCUAAUGGUGCCACCAAGAAAGAUACAAGCCCAGAACUGUUUAGUAAGGCAGAUGGGAAGGUUGUUGAGGAGUUUAGAUUGAGAGUUGUGUAUAUUCUUGCUAAUCCCCCAUCACCUGUUCCUGAAGGAUCAGAAGAAGAUUCUUCACCCAUGGCAAAUCAUGUCGAGGGUGGAAAUCAAAAUGCUGCUUCGUUUGAUGGGUUAACAGGCUCUCUAGAAGAACCAAAAGAGAAGCCUGCAUCUGCAGAGGUAUGGUCCAUGGUUUCCAGGCUGACUGAUGAAAAAGCUUCUGCUAUUGAACAAAAUCAGGAGCUUCGUCAGGAGUUGGAAAUGCUGCGGAAAGAAACGGGCAAAAGUAAUAUUGGGGGAUCGUAUAUUUUAUUGGUGGUGCUGAUCGGUUUGCUAGGGUUUCUUGUGAGCUACCUCAUUAAUUAAGACACAUUAGAGGCUGGUGCUCUAUUAGUCAUUCGGGAUGCCUAUUGAAAAAUGAGUGUUCAAGAUGUCUCCACGCUGAAAGUUCAGAUUCGGAACAUUCAUACAGAUUUUCUGAUUCUGAAACUUGUGAAAGUGACGAGGAUGUUGAAGAGGAGAUCAAUAAUGGUGUUGACGUUGAUUCGGGUGCAAGAUGCUUUAUUUAAAAAAAAAAUGAUUUUAGUUGUUGUAUCCAUAUGAUUGGUUCUACUAGUCAGUUUCUAAACAAUGCUGUGCAUUUGGGAUGCCUUGAAAAUUUGAGUUAGA
Molecule: RNA transcript, 1136 nt
Organism: Daucus carota subsp. sativus
Lineage: Eukaryota; Viridiplantae; Streptophyta; Magnoliopsida; Apiales; Apiaceae
Gene name: vesicle-associated protein 1-3
Exons: 9
Source: RefSeq, a predicted model, not a curated record